RNAcentral lists this ribosomal RNA (301 nucleotides) under uncultured bacterium. RNAcentral describes it as "partial 16S ribosomal RNA". It matches the Rfam family "Bacterial small subunit ribosomal RNA", at positions 509 to 807 of the family's 1533-position model. The record is from RNAcentral.
CAGCAGCCGCGGGAAUACAGAGGGUGCAAGCGUUAAUCGGAAUUACUGGGCGUAAAGCGCGCGUAGGUGGUUUGUUAAGUUGAAUGUGAAAUCCCCGGGCUCAACCUGGGAACUGCAUCCAAAACUGGCAAGCUAGAGUAGGGCAGAGGGUGGUGGAAUUUCCUGUGUAGCGGUGAAAUGCGUAGAUAUAGGAAGGAACACCAGUGGCGAAGGCGACCACCUGGGCUCGUACUGACACUGAGGUGCGAAAGCGUAGGGAGCAAACAGGAUUAGAUACCCCUGUAGUCCCUGUCUCUUAUAC